RNAcentral lists this long non-coding RNA (582 nucleotides) under Cricetulus griseus (Chinese hamster). Its description in RNAcentral is "lncRNA (ENSCGRG00015031500.1)". Lineage: Eukaryota; Metazoa; Chordata; Mammalia; Rodentia; Cricetidae. The record is from RNAcentral.
GUGCUUUCUCAUUGAAGGGUGGGCACCUACGCACUGCCCACCUUCGCUGGGUAAUCCUCACCACAACCCUGCGAUGCACACUAUUGCACCCAGCUCAAAGAAACUGCUUGCCCAACAUCACAAAGCUGCCCAGUGAUAGAGAUGGCACUGGACCCAGAGCUCAGUCUUUCCCUCACAAAGCACGCCUCAGUGCACAGUGUCAAAGGGAGAUAAGCUUGGCUGCCCAAAGGAGGAAAAGAAUGUGUCCAGCUGGGAAGCAGUGGGAAUAGGAAUGGGGCAGGAGAGAUGGCUUGGAGGUUAAGAGCAAUGGCUGCUCUUCCAGAGGUUGUGAGUUCAAUUCCCAGCAACCACAUGGUGGCUCACAACAAUCUAUAGUGAGAGCUGGUGCCCUGCAUAUAUGCAGGCAGAAGACUAUAUAUACAAUAAAUAAGUCUCUUUUUAAAAAGCUAUUAAAAAAAAAACAAAGAAGGCUCUGCCUCACCUCUGCAUCCCCCUUGAAGACGUGCUGUCUUGCUAUGUAGAGAGAAAGCUUCCUGUCUGACAAGAGACUGCUCUGGAGGCUUGCAAAUCACCUAUAUGGAG